RNAcentral lists this transfer-messenger RNA (134 nucleotides) under Pseudohongiella sp. RNAcentral describes it as "partial transfer-messenger RNA". It matches the Rfam family "transfer-messenger RNA", at positions 1 to 134 of the family's 374-position model. Rfam says of the family: Bacterial tmRNA, also known as 10Sa RNA or SsrA, is named for its dual tRNA and mRNA-like properties. The record is from RNAcentral. Lineage: Bacteria; Pseudomonadati; Pseudomonadota; Gammaproteobacteria; Pseudomonadales; Pseudohongiellaceae.
GGGGCCGAUUUGGAUUCGACGCCGGUAUCAAACCCUGAGGUGCAUGUCGAGAGGGUAUAGACUCUCGUAAAUCAAUCUAUGCAACUUUAUAGUUGCCAACGACGAAAGCUACGCACUCGCUGCCUAAUUAGGCG